CAGCGAGGCUGUUCUAUCGCUCCACGCAAGUGGGGAGGAAAGUCCGGGCAACAUAGAGCGUUCCGCCUUGUGAUAAGCAAGGGAUCCUGAUUGAAACGUCAGGAGACAGAAAGUACCGCAGAGAAUAUACCGCCUUCGGGUAAGGGUGAAAACGUGAGGUAAGAGCUCACGGCUGCUUUGGUAACAAAGUUUGCAGGAAAACCUCGGAAGUUGAAAGACCAAAUAGGCUGUAUUAGUGGGGCUGCUCGCUCCCUUCGUUGCAAAACGAUGAUACAGUGGGUAGGUCGAUUGAUCCUGACUUUCAAAAUCAGGACAGAUAAAUGAUAGAAAUUCUUAUGCUUCGGUAUAAGAAAACAGAACCCGGCUUACAGGCCUCAUUUUUUU
RNAcentral lists this RNase P RNA (384 nucleotides) under Bacteroidota bacterium. Its description in RNAcentral is "RNase P RNA component class A". It matches the Rfam family "Bacterial RNase P class A". Rfam says of the family: Ribonuclease P (RNase P) is a ubiquitous endoribonuclease, found in archaea, bacteria and eukarya as well as chloroplasts and mitochondria. Its best characterised activity is the generation of mature 5'-ends of tRNAs by cleaving the 5'-leader elements of precursor-tRNAs. Lineage: Bacteria; Pseudomonadati; Bacteroidota. The record is from RNAcentral.